AUUUAAAAGCUUAUGGGAAAACUAGAUUGAAAUGUUUUCCUAAAAUCCAGUGUCUUCAACUUUCAAGCUGAUUGCGAGAGGGAAGGUCCUGGGUGGUUCUGCCACGUGUUGUCUCACACAGACCCUGGGACCAUGGAAAUGAGAUCAUGUGGCAGAAGAGAUCAGAAGAAAGGAAUGGCUCUAAAGGGUGAUAUCUGGCUUCUGAGGCCAAUAAAUGCCUUUCCUGGUGGAUGGAUGUUUUAUGUGAGGCCGUGUAUUCCCUUUGAGUUAUGUGAUAUUAUCAAAGAAAACCAGAAAAGUGUAUAUCUUCCAAAGAGACGUGUAAAGAAUGGCACCAAAGAGAAUAUUGUGACUGAACAUCAGCUCUGCAAAACAAAAGGAGUUUGACUGCAGUGUGAUUUAUGUGGAAAGACUCAGGCAACUUCUGC
RNAcentral lists this long non-coding RNA (428 nucleotides) under Parus major (Great Tit). Its description in RNAcentral is "lncRNA (ENSPMJG00000004557.1)". The record is from RNAcentral. Lineage: Eukaryota; Metazoa; Chordata; Aves; Passeriformes; Paridae.